UACGGGGGGGGCAAGCGUUGUUCGGAAUUACUGGGCGUAAAGGGCGCGUAGGCGGUUGGAUAAGUCAGCUGUGAAAACCACGGGCUUAACUCGUGGCCUGCAGUUGAGACUGUCUGGCUUGAGUGUGGGAGAGGAGAGUGGAAUUCCUGGUGUAGCGGUGAAAUGCGUAGAUAUCGAGAGGAACACCGGUGGCGAAGGCGGCCAACUGGACAGAUACUGACGCUGAGACUCGAAAGCGUGGGGAGCAAACAGG
This 253-nucleotide ribosomal RNA is filed under the name uncultured bacterium. RNAcentral's name for it is "partial 16S ribosomal RNA". It matches the Rfam family "Bacterial small subunit ribosomal RNA", at positions 524 to 776 of the family's 1533-position model. The record is from RNAcentral.